CAGAGGAUAAAGGGAGUGGGUGUGGAGGCUCUUGUUCCUCUUUUGGCAUGAUGUAGCAUCAGCAGUGAUGGUGGAAGUUGUCUACAUAUCCUAAAUCAUUGAGAGAUGAGAGAUGUAAAGCUAAGUUUCACUGACCAUUUAGAAGAACAUGUGGGUCAAAUCUCAGCUCCUAUCAAUUCUGAACCUCCUUGGAGUUCCACCAGCAACCUUCCCCCUGGCCUGGAAGGAGAGAACAACAUUUAUAGGUUUUCUUUGCCAAAGACGCUGGAGUAGUUUGCCAUUUCCUUCUCCAGUUCAUUUUACAACUGAGAAAACUGGGGCAAACAGGGGUCAGUGACUUGUUCAGGGUCACACAGCUAGUGUCUGAGGCCAAAUUUGAAUUCAGGAAGAUGACUCAAGGGUGGGUACCCUAUCCACUAACUAUACCACCUACCUGCCUAGUGUUUCCAUUAUGAGGGGUUAUUUAAAUGUGCAAAAAACUUGUAAUGAUUAAUAAUAAACGUGACUUGAAAUAAAAUUUUGCUUCCCGU
RNAcentral lists this long non-coding RNA (530 nucleotides) under Monodelphis domestica (gray short-tailed opossum). RNAcentral's name for it is "lncRNA (ENSMODG00000032240.2)". The record is from RNAcentral. Lineage: Eukaryota; Metazoa; Chordata; Mammalia; Didelphimorphia; Didelphidae.